Molecule: ribosomal RNA, 497 nt
Filed under: uncultured bacterium
Lineage: Bacteria
Description: partial 16S ribosomal RNA
Rfam family: Bacterial small subunit ribosomal RNA
Source: RNAcentral
GAUGAACGCUAGCGGCAGGCCUAAUACAUGCAAGUCGAACGAGAUUGUUGUAGCAAUAUGACAUGAAAGUGGCGCACGGGUGCGUAACACGUAUGCAAUCUACCUCUAAUUGGAGAAUAGCUUCGAGAAAUCGGAAUUAAUACUCCAUAACAUUAUUGAGUGGCAUCACUUGAUAAUCAAACUUCCGGGGAUUAGAGAUGAGCAUGCGCAACAUUAGCUAGUUGGUAAGGUAAUGGCUUACCAAGGCUACGAUGUUUAGGGGGUCUGAGAGGGUGAUCACCCACACUGGUACUGAGACACGGAGCAGACUCCUUCGGGCGGCAGCGGUAGUGAAUAAUUGGCAAUGGUGGAAACUCUGACCCAGCCAUGCCGCGUGCAGGAUGACGGCCCUCUGGGUUGUAAACUGCUUUUAUACGGGAAGAAAAAAACUACGUGUAGUAUACUGACGGUACCGUAAGAAUAAGGAUCGGCUAACUCCGUGCCAGCCGCCGCGGUAA